Triticum aestivum (bread wheat) is the source of this 119-nucleotide non-coding RNA. The record is from Rfam. NCBI's taxonomy places the organism in Eukaryota, Viridiplantae, Streptophyta, Magnoliopsida, Poales, Poaceae.
GGGUGCAAUCGUAACAGCACUAAAGCAGCGGAUCCCAUCAGAACUUUGAAGUUAAGCGUGCUUGGGCGAUCCUAGUACUAUCAAGGGUGACCUCCUAGGAAGUGCUCGUGUUGCAUUCC